UCGUAGUUCAAUGGAUAGAGCACCAGCCUCCGAAGCUGGUAAUAUGGGUUCGACUCCCGUCGAG
RNAcentral lists this transfer RNA (64 nucleotides) under human gut metagenome. It matches the Rfam family "tRNA", at positions 5 to 66 of the family's 71-position model. From Rfam's summary of the family: Transfer RNA (tRNA) molecules are approximately 80 nucleotides in length. Their secondary structure includes four short double-helical elements and three loops (D, anti-codon, and T loops). RNAcentral also lists the same sequence under 1 other name. The record is from RNAcentral.